RNAcentral lists this ribosomal RNA (468 nucleotides) under uncultured bacterium. Its description in RNAcentral is "partial 16S ribosomal RNA". It matches the Rfam family "Bacterial small subunit ribosomal RNA", at positions 28 to 507 of the family's 1533-position model. The record is from RNAcentral.
GACGAACGCUGGCGGCGUGCUUAACACAUGCAAGUCGAACGGAAAGGCCCUGCUUUUGUGGGGUGCUCGAGUGGCGAACGGGUGAGUAACACGUGAGUAACCUGCCCUUGACUUUGGGAUAACUUCAGGAAACUGGGGCUAAUACCGGAUAGGAGCUCCUGCUGCAUGGUGGGGGUUGGAAAGUUUCGGCGGUUGGGGAUGGACUCGCGGCUUAUCAGCUUGUUGGUGGGGUAGUGGCUUACCAAGGCUUUGACGGGUAGCCGGCCUGAGAGGGUGACCGGCCACAUUGGGACUGAGAUACGGCCCAGACUCCUACGGGAGGCAGCGGUGGGGAAUAUUGCACAAUGGGCGGAAGCCUGAUGCAGCAACGCCGCGUGCGGGAUGACGUCCUGCGGGUUGUAAACCGCUUUCGCCUGUGACGAAGCGUGAGUGACGGUAAUGGGUAAAGAAGCACCGGCUAACUACGUG